AAAAAGCUUCCGUGGGUGAACCUGCGGAAGGAUCAUUGCCGUUUGCACCGCUGAGGUUUCCGCUUGCUUGACCUCCUGGGCACGGAUACGUUCAACUAUCUUCCAUCGGAAUAUGAACUGCGAACUCUAACGGUGGGCAGACUACCUCGGGAGCCUGGCCUGCCCGCCCCGGUGGCUAGGCAGGCAUCUAUGUAGUGAGUCUCAAGAAUCGCGCGUUCAGCCAGUGUAAGACCGGGUCGUCCCACACGAGUGAAGGAGCCUGAUCCGCGCCUACCUCCGCCAGCUUCUGCAUCGGUACAGUAGCAGUGGUGAGCCGGCUUCGUGCCAGGCGAUUGAUCCCUGGCGUGAUGCGGGUGUCGGACAUAUACGACGCUGAUCGUCGGGUGACCAGCCAGCGUGACUUGUCGAUCGGAGAGAUCCCAAGUCUCCUGCCGCACUUCGCAAACAUCGUGCCAUCCAAGCGCCGCUACCCUGCCAGGCACUCGGCGAGGUCGGAUCAGCUGGCAGUGUCGUGCAAGCUAUACACGGAUGCGUUGCUGCAGGGUGAUACGCUAGUGCUUCCGUGUCAGUUUACACCACUCGAUCCUAAAACCUCGAAACCUAAGCCUCCAGCGCGGGUCGGUGGUCUUGCCCCGGUCACCCUCCGUGCACCUCCGGGUACCCAACACGUCUCUCCCCUCCGGGGUCAGGAGGGGGGUUUAAUGUCUCCUACCCCUGUUUGUUCCACGCGCCUCACGGGAGGGACGCCAGGGUGCUUGUCCGUCUAACCCUGUAAAACCCUUACUCGUCGCUAAGUGCGCAGUCCCACCGUAGCUGUAAACCUUAAGAGCUUGACAACUCUUACUGGUAAAUCACUCGGCUCAUGCAUCGAUGAAGAACGCAGCAAGCUGCGAGAACUCAUGUGAAUUGCAGGACACAUUGAUCAUCGAAACUUCGAACGCACCUUGCGGCCCCGGGUUACUCCCGGGGCUACGGCUGUCUGAGGGUCGCUUUGACAUCAAUCGGAAAGGCCGUUCUACCUCGUGCCUUCUCGCGGGUGUGGCCGACGCUGGCAUCCGUUGCUCUUCCCACUAAGCGCAGACGGCUGAGGAGUCUCUCGCCACCUCGGUUGCGGUUGCGGCGAGGUCUCGGGCCAGCCGCCCGACCGUUGUACCAGUAGGCUCCGGUUCUCCUGCUCCUCUCUUCCUCAUGCUCCCGUGGAACCAAGAUCCCCUGGGAGAAGGGUCGCCCGGACGGGCACCGCAUGACUCGGGAGCGGCUGUCGGUGGACAGACCAUGUCUCUCCGCGCUGACCGUGUUACGUGUGGACCCGGUUCUGACGGGAACGCUGCGGCUGUGAGUACGAGGUUCGGGGGUCGUCCUCGGUGUUUGGGAGGUCGCGGCGCAGGGGACACCCACCGGAUCGUCGCGGCGCACUCCGCCUCCGGAGGCGUUACGACCCCCCCAGGCUAUCCCGGAACGCCUGAGCCCCCCCUUCAACUCGUGGGACGGGGG
This 1494-nucleotide ribosomal RNA is filed under the name Lutjanus sebae (emperor red snapper). RNAcentral describes it as "eukaryotic LSU rRNA". The stretch from base 836 to 989 matches the Rfam family "5.8S ribosomal RNA". Lineage: Eukaryota; Metazoa; Chordata; Actinopteri; Lutjaniformes; Lutjanidae. The record is from RNAcentral.